UGGGGAAUAUUGCACAAUGGGCGCAAGCCUGAUGCAGCCAUGCCGCGUGUAUGAAGAAGGCCUUCGGGUUGUAAAGUACUUUCAGCGGAGAGGAAGGCGUUGUGGUUAAUAACCACAGCGAUUGACGUUACCCGCAGAAGAAGCACCGGCUAACUCCGUGCCAGCAGCCGCGGUAAUACGGAGGGUGCAAGCGUUAAUCGGAAUUACUGGGCGUAAAGCGCACGCAGGCGGUCUGUUAAGUCAGAUGUGAAAUCCCCGGGCUCAACCUGGGAACUGCAUUUGAAACUGGCAGGCUUGAGUCUCGUAGAGGGGGGUAGAAUUCCAGGUGUAGCGGUGAAAUGCGUAGAGAUCUGGAGGAAUACCGGUGGCGAAGGCGGCCCCCUGGACGAAGACUGACGCUCAGGUGCGAAAGCGUGGGGAGCAAACA
Molecule: ribosomal RNA, 427 nt
Filed under: uncultured bacterium
Lineage: Bacteria
Description: partial 16S ribosomal RNA
Rfam family: Bacterial small subunit ribosomal RNA
Source: RNAcentral